This 71-nucleotide transfer RNA is filed under the name Loxodonta africana (African savanna elephant). It matches the Rfam family "tRNA". Rfam says of the family: Transfer RNA (tRNA) molecules are approximately 80 nucleotides in length. The record is from Rfam by way of RNAcentral. Lineage: Eukaryota; Metazoa; Chordata; Mammalia; Proboscidea; Elephantidae.
ACAUUGGUGAUUCAGUGGUAGAAUUCUUUCCUUGCAUGUGGGAGACCCUGGUUCAAUUCCUGUCCAAAGCA